Pezoporus flaviventris is the source of this 891-nucleotide long non-coding RNA. RefSeq lists it as uncharacterized. The record is from RefSeq and is a predicted model, not a curated record. The transcript is spliced from 2 exons. NCBI's taxonomy places the organism in Eukaryota, Metazoa, Chordata, Aves, Psittaciformes, Psittacidae.
AGUGGAAAUCUACCUGGCAAGCUGCUGAAGUAUGUUCUGCACCCAACAGAUACCAGAGCUGGUGUCUGGCUUAUGUCUGCAUUAUUGCCCAUAAUACAUGGCCAACCAGAUAAUACUGAAAAGCAAGCAUUGUUUUCACAGAAAAUGAGAAUACUUUCUGACUGAGAAGAUAAGCUAAAGAAACUGUUUCCCUGGCUAAAGAAUGUAUGAAAACAGAGUAUGGCCAGAUCCUGAGAUGAGACAGGAUGGAAGAAAUGGUGUUCCUCCUGCUCCCCAGACACUGCCCAGCAGAGCAGAUUUGUGAGAAGUCCUCUGCCAGCAAACGCAAAUAUUCUGUGUAACUAGGUCUUCCUUUUGAAAGGUCUCCUCUGACCUGCAUAUGUGGGAAGAGUACGCUGUGUCCAGGCAUGCCAGUGUGCCUCCUUUACACACAUGCCAUCUUACAGGAAAACAUUUUGUAACCACGUCUUUUAGGAGAUACAAUCCCAUCUGACUGUGAAGGACCUGCACUAUGCUGCCUUAUGUUGUCAGCCCUGCAAAGUAACCACAUUUUGCUGUCCUUGUUUCUUCCUCAGCCCCCUCACUUUGCAAGUUUUAUUUUCUAUGUGGAAAGAUAAACUCUGUGAGAUGAACAAGUUCUCAAACUUCAGGCGUCUCUGAAAGUAAUAGGAUCUGCAUCAUUGGGGGACUUCUAGGUACUACAUUAAUGAUAAUAAAAAAGCAUUCUUCCUGGUCUUGACUGCUAGAGAGCUUGUCAGCUCUCUGAGAGUUUUUAAUGGACAAAAAUAAUAAAGCCUGAAUAAUGUUAGGUGAUAUGUGAUUAGUCUGCUGCAUUUUGCUGUAUCAUACUUGCAAUCAAAGCAUUAAAAGUUUCAAAAAUUCAAUUUUAAA